AGGAGUGGAGCCUGCGGCUUAAUUUGACUCAACACGGGAAACCUCACCAGGCCCGGACACCGGAAGGAUUGACAGAUUGAGAGCUCUUUCUUGAUUCGGUGGGUGGUGGUGCAUGGCCGUUCUUAGUUGGUGGAGCGAUUUGUCUGGUUAAUUCCGAUAACGAACGAGACUCUAGCCUGCUAACUAGGCGUAUUUCGACAUCCCAAAGGCCCGCCGGCGUUCGGGGUUCUCCGAACUCCGACUCCGCGCGCGGUUUUUACUGUCGGCGUACAAACAAUUCUUCUUAGAGGGACAGGCGGCUUCUAGCCGCACGAGAUUGAGCAAUAACAGGUCUGUGAUGCCCUUAGAUGUUCUGGGCCG
This 360-nucleotide ribosomal RNA is filed under the name Parandra sp. SK482. RNAcentral describes it as "SSU rRNA". It matches the Rfam family "Eukaryotic small subunit ribosomal RNA", at positions 1172 to 1489 of the family's 1831-position model. The record is from RNAcentral. Lineage: Eukaryota; Metazoa; Arthropoda; Insecta; Coleoptera; Cerambycidae.